RNAcentral lists this non-coding RNA (24 nucleotides) under Arabidopsis thaliana (thale cress). The record is from RNAcentral. Lineage: Eukaryota; Viridiplantae; Streptophyta; Magnoliopsida; Brassicales; Brassicaceae.
GUGAUAUGGACCAACUUUUAUGGG